Non-coding RNA from Biomphalaria pfeifferi, 684 nucleotides. NCBI's taxonomy places the organism in Eukaryota, Metazoa, Mollusca, Gastropoda, Planorbidae. The record is from the annotation of a GenBank genome assembly.
CUGGUACUGAGAAUACUGGCCUUGGCUUUAUUUUUAUUCAAUAUGGUCCUUUAUUAUUUUUUUCUCAGCUCAUUAAAAACAGUCUGCUCAGUAAAUCAUAAAUAAUAUUUCAUUCAAAAACUAAUUUAUAUUCAUUUAUUCAACUGUGUUAAUUCGAAGCCCUUGAACCAUGGAAUUAGGAUUAGUAGGCUUACUGAAUUGUCAGGUUGAAACAAGGUUUCGAUUCAAGGAUAGUAGGAUUUCCUGUUAACUAUGCAAGUUUUAAAAGUCAAUUCAACAUACAUAGAAACAUUUCAAAAUGAUUUUGCUUGUGAGAAUUUAUCGUUAAUUUAAUUACUUUGGGUUAUUCUAGAAUCACACCUACAAAUGUUAAACUUCUAUAGUACAAACAAGUUUGACCAACGCUAUUUCCAAGUUUUAGCUAAGCCCAUGUAUUAGAAAAAUUGUCAAAUGAAGCUUUCUUUUACCAAGAGAUAAGCUUUUUUUUAAAUAAGGAAAUUUUUAUAAUUAAAAAAUUGAUUUUAAAAAAUAACAAUCAAAAUUGUUUUGACUAAAUGAAAACGAUUAGUUAGCUUGCUGUUUUGUUUUAGUAAAAAAUGUUUUCAAAAUGUCCCAAGAACAAUUAGUUUUAAAGUGUUUUGGCUUGCAGAAUGUAUAUACCUCCUAAAUUUUUAUUGAAUGCUU